Long non-coding RNA from Dalotia coriaria, 548 nucleotides. RefSeq lists it as uncharacterized. The record is from RefSeq and is a predicted model, not a curated record. The transcript is spliced from 2 exons. NCBI's taxonomy places the organism in Eukaryota, Metazoa, Arthropoda, Insecta, Coleoptera, Staphylinidae.
GCGAUUUCCUCCGAGUCUCGUGCCUACCAAUACGAACUGGUUUUUAACAAACCGAAAUAGCGAUGGUGGGGAAUAAUAAUGUCAUUAUUUUCUAAUUUACAAUCGUCCAGUUGAUGAUCAUUCCAUUGCACCACCCGUGGUGCUUUAUUAUAAAUAUCUCGCAGGCGAUUUCGGAUGCCCUGUUGCGCAAAACGUGGUGCACGCGGGGUACAACUUCAUUUGUGUUGCGGUGCACACACGAUGAAAAUCACCGAUUUGCAUAAUAGUAGGACCAUGGCGGUCGUGCGGAGAGAAGUUAAUCGAUUUCUCGCGAAGACAAAUCGAUUCGGAUGCAGACGAAUAAAUAACGAUUACCGUUAUCGAUCAGAUUGCAUCGAUGCAACAAUCAACAACAAAAAUGGCCGCGCUUUCACAGACAGCGUAUGUAAACUUUAAACAAGUGGAUCUCACCGCGUGGAUGUCGAGAGUCGAGAACUCUAGAGGUGAAAUUAAGCACAUAUUUAAACACUGGAAUAUUAACGUCAAACUUGAAUAAAUAUUGAAUCGGU